This is a non-coding RNA of Cordylochernes scorpioides, 123 nucleotides long. Lineage: Eukaryota; Metazoa; Arthropoda; Arachnida; Pseudoscorpiones; Chernetidae. The record is from the annotation of a GenBank genome assembly.
GCCAUCCUGACACAAAUGGCCGAGUGGUCUAAGGCACUAGACUCAAGGUAACUUAUCCCGUAGCAGGAAGUUGGGUGUUCUGGUCCACGGCAGUGGGCGCAAGUUCAAAUCCCACUUCUGACA